UACGAAGGAGGCUAGCGUUGUUCGGAAUUACUGGGCGUAAAGCGCACGUAGGCGGAUAUUUAAGUCAGGGGUGAAAUCCCAGAGCUCAACUCUGGAACUGCCUUUGAUACUGGGUAUCUCGAGUAUGGAAGAGGUGAGUGGAAUUCCGAGUGUAGAGGUGAAAUUCGUAGAUAUUCGGAGGAACACCAGUGGCGAAGGCGGCCGCCUGGGCCUUUGCUGACGCUGAGCCGCGAAAGCGUGGGGAGCGAGCCGG
RNAcentral lists this ribosomal RNA (253 nucleotides) under uncultured bacterium. Its description in RNAcentral is "partial 16S ribosomal RNA". It matches the Rfam family "Bacterial small subunit ribosomal RNA", at positions 524 to 776 of the family's 1533-position model. The record is from RNAcentral.